ACAGUCUGUUGUUUUACUGCAUCAGCAGUCAGAAGCAUGAGGAUGGCAAUGUGCUAGAUAGGGAGCUCUUUUUAGACGACGUUACCUAUCGUGUUUUUGCUAACGGUAAGAGUGGCCUCGGCAGCGGCAGCCAGGUUUCGGAUUUCUCCGUUCGUUUGCCCCGGUCGUUCCUCUUCCUGCUUGUCAGGCCCUUGGCCUAUCCGUUCAGUUCAAAGCUAAGAACCAUCAAGCCAAAGAACCCUGAGUGGCGCUGUUUUUUUUUUUUAAACAGAGAAGAAGUCGGUGAGUAACAAUUCAGUACGAAGCAUCUACAAGUAGCUAUUACGACGCAUUGAGUGUUUGGCGAAAAGCCCGAGGACGCGAGUAUAACUAAUUUAGUUGCUGGUCAAGCCAGGUUAUGUUGGAUAGUUUGCUGGUCGUCUGCCUGUGAUGUCCUCGUUCUCUCCCAUUUUCGUCUACAAUUUGCUUCCGCAGUUCGAAUAUCAAAGAGUAAUAAUAGCAGUUGGAAGAGAAAACAGGCAAGGAAUGAAAACGAAAAAGAUACUUACUGAACAGCGUGAACAUUGCGCUCGGCCACGGACCAUUUUGAUACGAAAUAGGAAAAGGCACAGAUGAAGAUGACAGAGAACGACGGAGUGGCACCUAGAUACAGCUCAAGCAAAACCUUCAAAUCAUCCUGAAUCUAGAUAUCUCGCUUUGUGUGGAUCAUUGCCACCGCCUUCUGUCGUAAUUGCCUGCCCCUUACAGGGCUAAUGUCGAGGAGAAAAGUGGUUUAGACUGGUAGCAAAGCUGCUACAAGGAUGCUGAAAAGCUACUCAGAGAAAGCAAUUGAUAUAUUUCGUUAGUUUACUUUCAGAUCUGGCCAUACAUCCAUUGUGUGCCCAUUCAAAACGUAAUGCGGUCCGUUUAUUAAAAUUAAGCACUUUUGUUCAAUACGCAACUGAUAAUGUAAAAUAUAAUGCGAUCCUAAUAUUUUCUGAGCUAUUACGAGAAUUACUGCUUUGUCUAAUUCAUUUUUGACAAUCGUUUUAAUAAUACGGAUAUAGUUUUCAUCAGAAUAAUUUGUGUUUAAUGAUUUGAUUACGGGUAUAGGGUGUGCCCACUUCCGGACAAAACAAAAGGCUAUUGAGUCGCCUGCUUAGAUUGAGCCUUAUAGGAACAAUUCUUGACCGCGCUAACUGGACAUUCCGGAUAGGUGCCCCGCUAAUGUAGUCAGAGGAACUAUACUGAUAAUUAUUGUAUACAUGUAGCAAUUUACGUAUUCGAUUUUCCAGUAAUUGAUCUACUUCUCUAUCAUUUUUGGCUGACUGAUACUGGCAAUGAGACUUCGUACGACAAGUGCUGCAGGUUUAGUAAGAAAAUAUUUGUACUAUGUAAAUGAUCCUACAUAACCGGUGGAUCUCGCUUGCCUACUCUAUAUAAUAGCCUCUUGUCGUAGCUUUUCGUCUCAGACUCACUUGAUAAUGCCAUGAACAUAUCAGACAGGUUUAAACAACUGAUGUACGUUUGCAUGCACACAGAGUUAAGGCAUUGCCAGUACGGAAGUACUGGCAAUGCCUUAACAUUGUGCAAUAUGGACCAAGUCGUAUAACGUUGCCACUUCCUCUCAGUAAUACUUCCACUUCUUUCUUAAUUUAGCUCCUAGUUCCUUUAGAAAAGUGUCAGCGACGACUGGUAGCACCGAAAUUUUCACUCCAGCCAGCUAGACACGUUUUCGCAAGAGUGGCGGAAAGAUUGUCACAUAUAAGACGGACACCAGUUUCCUUGGCACCUAUGGAGACUGCCCUAUCUCAGUAAAAACAUUAAAUGAGCCUUAGGUUGAGGUCUGCGGGUCAUGAAAGAGAAAAGGAGAACAAAGGACGAUCAAACCACAAUAUGAUCAUACUGCGAAGGCUCUGCGCGGAGGUAGGAGCGGACAGUUCGCGACGCUGUGUUGCCCUCAAAACGAGGCAGAGAGCACGUCCUAUUAAAAAAUCUGCUGGUGCUGCUGCCAUGAAGUGGCCAAACAAGGACACUGACAAGAGUCUUCUACAACGAACGCCUUCGAUAUAAACGCAUACAUUUCGAAAGAGCGACUGGAAUCACAUUUGAAGGAGUCGGAGAAGAAGGCCUUUUCCAAGUAAUAUUGGUAGGCAUAAUCGGCUCAUUUCCAUAGCUGCGCUCGCUUAGAGAAGGACAAACGCGUUUUAGCUUCCUUGUCAUAGUCGAGAUGCAGGACGAUGUUACGCAGUCGACCGAACAGUAAAUGCUAUGAUUUGGUCCUAUUCGUUUGCAAAACUUUCAUUGGAGAAAGAACAGCGUACCUGUAAUCUAAACAGAUUGUACAGGUGAUGGCAUUUUAAGUAUACCAAUAAUGAAGCACACUAUAAUUAUCAGGUUGUCUGAAAAGUUCCUGUUUACUUUGUUUUUACUUACUGUUCACUUCCUGUUUUACUUUGUUUUUUUUUCAAUGUUCUGAAAGAAGAACCGUUUUUUGCUGUUUAAACCUAUUCAAAUCACAAAAGAUUGACUUUGCCUUUUCGUUCGAAUAUGGAUACGUUAGGUGAUAGAAACAGCCUUUUAAACAUUCACUAUUCAUCUUAAGCCAACGAGAGCAGCUACUAAAACACAUACGUGUUACAUGUAUGACCAAGCCUUAUAUCUAUCCCUCUGAUAGAUCUGAUCUAUAAAUAUCACCUCUGAAUAUCUGAAACAUAUACUCCAUUCGACUUUUCGAAUCCGGCGAAGGUUAUCUUGAGCACCUUUUGAAACAGAACCUAGACAAACCCCUUCCCAUGUACAGAACAAAUAUCUCGGAUUGUAAAUAGCAAAUAAAGCAUUUAUCAGAAAUUUGUUUUUUUCUCUCUAUACUCGAUGUAUACAAAGCGAGAAAAAUACUUUUCGACAAAUACAACAAAAAACGACAACAAAUCUUGAACAACACAGAAAGAGCGGUUUUCGUAGCGGUCUGUUUUGCCUUGCACUUAAUAAACAAAAAAGAAAAAGGCAUAAGAACAGCAAACUAGGACCGCCACUUCGAAAAAACUAGUAUACUAAGUUAGGUUGUUUAUUCAUGUGAACGUAAUUACAGAUUUUCUUAGGCAUUUUUGUUUUCACUUUAAAAGGGUAAAUAGAACUCAACGAAAGGUCACAGAGAUGAUAUAUUAUAUUUUCAUUAACUGUAUUAGAACAUUAGGUCGUAUACUAGGUUUUGGAGAAAUUGCGACCCGGUGUCGCUGUUGGCGAUCGGUACGUUCGCAUCGUUCCACGAUAUUGUGCGUAAGUAUAAAAAAUUGCUCUACUCUUAGCGUCAAAGACGAUUGCCAAGCGUCUUUAAGAUUUAUCAUGAUCAUCCGAAAAAUGAAUAGGUGAAAAGCUUAGCUGAUUUGAUAUACUCCAGCACUCUGUCAUCCGUCCUUUCUUAUACGGUAAAUAGUCGUCUAAGUGCGAUACCUUAUUCGAUAUUAGGAUGUUCCUAUAUAUGCACACGGAUAAAAUUUGAGACUAUUCUAUUAUCGAACUAUACGCUCAUCUACCUAAACCUGUUUUUGUUGUUUUCGAGUUCGACAGGUCGAACGAUGCUACACGUCGCAGGGACAGGGCAAAUCCCUUCCUCUUUUGAAUGUUCUAUUCGUUUUGAUUCUUGUGAGUCUACUCGUCGAGGCGCUAUCUUCGUUACUUCCCUGUGAUCAUGUUCCUAUGUUACGCAUACGAUAUCCGUUUUCCGUUUUUGGCCGUGAUGUUACGUGAUCACGUAUUUCUGUUUUAUUGUUUACAUUCUAAAUUGACGCGGCAAUGUUUCCGCGAAUCUUUCUGCUGACUUUUGCCCUCCUUGCCAGACUCAUGUGAGUAUGCAUAACCAACCCGGCUUUCCUUGUUACUUGCUUUAUCGGCAAUAUUAAACUCGACAUAGUAUGAGUAUAAGCUGAGACGACACACUCGCACAUCACCGACUCGCUUUUGUUGUUCUUAGUUAAGUGCCCAACCACACGACCCCUUCAACCCAUAAGACAUGGCGCGGACUGUACCUUUUUUUUAGCGCCUUUCAACCGUUUAGUGUUCGCUUCUGGGGCCCUUCGGCUUCUCGUCUUUUUCAGGCUUCGUCUUUUCGUUGCUUAUUCUCCUGGUGGUUGCUAUCACACAUUCUACUAACGUUCCCCCAUACUCGCGGUCCGGUUUAUCUGUUUAGUCAGGAUGCUUGUGGUGGCUGAUACAGACUUCAUUCGACGCCUACCAUCCUUGGAGAUGUCAAGCUGUGCGAGCCACCGCUCGCAGUACACCGUUACUGCUAGCGCGACCGCGGUCAUCGCCGCCAUCGGCGUCCGGCCGCCCGAGGCCAUGCCCUUACUCAACCUUAGUCGGGCGGCGACUAACGCGCUUUGUGUCCUUGAGUCACUAAUAGCCAUACGCCAAUACUACUGAGAGAUUCGUAUGUUAUGGAGCCACUAAAUUGCGAGGCUCGACAGGCUUGGCAGUGUCGAUCUUUUCUGAUUCUUCACAAAGCGGGGACUGUUUUACGCCCGAUUAUUCCACCCAUCAACUUGAUACGAAUGGGUGUACUUUUACCCAAUCAGUAACAUGUUCACAAUGUCGCCAAUUACUUACAAAGAUAUUUGUACGUCUG
Varroa destructor (honeybee mite) is the source of this 4603-nucleotide long non-coding RNA. RefSeq lists it as uncharacterized. The record is from RefSeq and is a predicted model, not a curated record. NCBI's taxonomy places the organism in Eukaryota, Metazoa, Arthropoda, Arachnida, Mesostigmata, Varroidae.